Molecule: long non-coding RNA, 2102 nt
Organism: Nerophis lumbriciformis (worm pipefish)
Lineage: Eukaryota; Metazoa; Chordata; Actinopteri; Syngnathiformes; Syngnathidae
Source: RefSeq, a predicted model, not a curated record
CUAAACCGGCGCGUGCCGCCUAGAGUAUAGGCUCCGCCUACACGGAUACUGAGCGACCAAUGUCUUCACCCGCGGACGUGGACGCGCCUACUGGUGUGUACGCGCAUGAGCCAAGAUCGAUCAUUUGCGGACUUUUUUUGCUGGAACACGAACGUAAGUAAGAUUUAUUGAUUUAUUGCUAGAUUCACAGUAAAGAUCGGCCUUUGUGUUUCCAUCAUCAUUUAUGUAUGAUUGUAAUGACGUUGUUUGAUAUUAGGACUAGCAGUAAAACUUUAUAUUCUGUAAAAAAGGCUAUUUUAUUUAAAAAUGGAAAAGCAAUGUUUUCAUCCAAUCGCACCCAGACCUUGGCCAUAGGCAAUGACUUGCAGGCUGGUGGACUGGCGAAUGACAGGAGAGGAGGGGCGCGACAAGGAGAGAGAGGGAAAACAGAGAGGGACGAAGAUGGCGGCGUCCGUCCUCGUUAGGGAGGGAAAAUUGUUUUUUACUCAAGUAUAUGACUAACCGUCGUCAACGUGGAAGUCUCGUCACGUCAGAGAAGGACGACGCCAGCCUGUUGACUGCUGCAGUACGGAAGUGUUUGUGGCUAAUUUUAUAUUCUGUAAAAAAAAAAGGCUAUUUUAUUUAAAAUGGAAUAGCAAUUUCGGCAGAAUAUGUUAUGGUAGUUAAGUAAAGUUUCGUUGCUGUGUAUUUUUCUUGAUGCGACGCUCGGAACUGGUAAGUCACGUUUUUUAUGUCUCAUCUCCUUUUAUUUUUUUAAAAACUUUUUGGUUGUCGCUCUUAAAGUAUUAUAUAAGAAUGCACACUGUUUUGUGACUUGUUGAUAAGCAUGUGGGUUAAAUUCCGGGAUUAGGGGUGUUAAAUUGUUGUAAAAAACAGACUUUUAUAUGCUAAAUGCUGCCGCUAGCACUAAGCUAACCACGUGGAUUAGCUUAAUGGUAGCUAGCGGCAGUUAUUACGGUGUUUCCUGGUCUCGUGAGUUUGCGCACGGGCCAAAAACUCCGCUGCUGUGUGGACAUCUUGUGUGCCGCUGUCGUAUUAAUGUGAGUGUGUAUUAUUUCUUUCUUUAUUCUUUAGUGGAGAGAGAUCCUGUUUACUGUGGACUGUGUGUGACGCCCUGUUGUUUUUGUAUUCAUUCAAAAAAAGCAUCAUCUACUGCCUGGAUUUUUGCCUACAACUGCUCCUGCUGCGUUCGCUUAAUCAAUAAUAAGAAGGAGCCUGGAUCCAGCCUGGCCUACAGGCCAACAUGGCGAGGGGGAAGAAUGGGCGACAACAUUUCCUGCUCUGUGGCUGAGGUCCAGAUCCUUAGCCUGCUGGAAACUAUUAAACACACCCAAGACCAGCUGAUGGCGAAGGUCAACUUCUUAACCAGCAGGUUGACCAUUACCCCGGGGCGAGAAGUUGAAAUGCCGGCCAAUAUCCAGUUUCCACUGGAACAGUUGGAGGCAGUGGAGGCAUUUUUGAAUGAACCAUCAAAUGGCCCAGCUUGACAAAGAGUGAUUUCUUCUUUGGCCACCAUUGGAGGCCAGGAUGUGAAGCGGGUGACCUGGAACAUCCUGGGCAGGGUGUUCACAGAUGACGUUUCAGAUCAGAUCAAUUGAAAGGGUGUCAACAACAAAAAGGCCUUUAGCAGAAUGGCAACAAAGACCUUGCUUUUCAAGGCAGAUGAGGUGGUUCGGGCAUCUGGUCAGGAUGCCACCCGAACGCCUCCCUAGGGAGGUGUUUCGGGCACGUCCGACCGGUAGGAGGCCACGGGGAAGACCCAGGACACGUUGGGAAGACUAUCUCGGCCUGGGAAUGCCUCGGGAUCCCCCAGGAGGAGCUGGACGAAGUGGCUGGGGAGAGGGAAGUCUGGGCUUCCCUGCUUAGGCUGCUGCCCCCGCGACCCGACCUCGGAUAAGUGGAAGAAGAUGGAUGGAUGGGAUAUUGUGUAUUGUGUGCUGUGAGAAAAAAUGUGGUGACAAGGUCAGCCACGGACGCUGAGGUCACCAAACACGCCAUCAGGUGGUUCAACCUGGCGGAGGAUCGGGCAACCAGGAGACGAGUCCCGCCUCCACCUCCUCAGGAGGAAUAGAAAUGUAUCAAUUAAACAACCUUUUAUUGAA